UGCCAGCAGCCGCGGUAAUACAGAGGGUGCAAACGUUGUUCGGAAUUACUGGGCGUAAAGGGUUCGUAGGCGGAAAUUGCGCGUCUUUUGUUAAAUCUUAGGGCUCAACCUUAAGCCAGCAGAAGAUACGGCAUUUCUAGAGGAAGGCAGAGAUAGACGGAACUCCUGGUGAAGCAGUGAAAUGCGUUGAUAUCAGGGGGAACACCAAUUGCGAAGGCAGUCUAUUGGGCCUUUCCUGACGCUGAGGAACGAAAGCGUGGGGAGCAAACAGGAUUAGAUA
This 280-nucleotide ribosomal RNA is filed under the name uncultured bacterium. RNAcentral's name for it is "partial 16S ribosomal RNA". It matches the Rfam family "Bacterial small subunit ribosomal RNA", at positions 506 to 784 of the family's 1533-position model. The record is from RNAcentral.